Molecule: ribosomal RNA, 253 nt
Filed under: uncultured bacterium
Lineage: Bacteria
Description: partial 16S ribosomal RNA
Rfam family: Bacterial small subunit ribosomal RNA
Source: RNAcentral
UACGUAGGGUGCAAGCGUUGUCCGGAAUUAUUGGGCGUAAAGAGCUCGUAGGCGGCUAGUCGCGUCGGCUGUGAAAACCCAGGGCUCAACCCUGGGCCUGCAUUCGAUACGGGCAAACUAGAGUAUGGCAGGGGAGACUGGAAUUCCUGGUGUAGCGGUGAAAUGCGCAGAUAUCAGGAGGAACACCGGUGGCGAAGGCGGGUCUCUGGGCCAAAACUGACGCUGAGGAGCGAAAGCGCGGGGAGCGAACAGG